UACGAGAGGCCCAAACGUUAUUCGGAAUUACUGGGCUUAAAGAGUCCGUAGGCGGCGCAGAAAGUAGGGUGUGAAAGCCCUCGGCUUAACCGAGGAAUUGCGCUCUAAACUACUGUGCUUGAGGAACCUAGAGGUGAGCGGAACUGAUGGUGGAGCGGUGAAAUGCGUUGGAUAUCAGUCAGGAACACCGGGAGGCGAAGGGCGGCUCACUGGGGGUUAGUCGUAGCAGCGCUGAGGGACGAAAGCCAGGGGAGCGAACGGG
RNAcentral lists this ribosomal RNA (262 nucleotides) under uncultured bacterium. RNAcentral describes it as "partial 16S ribosomal RNA". It matches the Rfam family "Bacterial small subunit ribosomal RNA", at positions 524 to 776 of the family's 1533-position model. The record is from RNAcentral.